Molecule: long non-coding RNA, 2541 nt
Filed under: Helianthus annuus (common sunflower)
Lineage: Eukaryota; Viridiplantae; Streptophyta; Magnoliopsida; Asterales; Asteraceae
Description: hypothetical non coding rna
Source: RNAcentral
GGUGUGUGCAACGAUCGAACAGGAGAAAGGAAAAAGGGGGUGUGAACCCUAAACCUCAAGAAAUCAUCAAAUUGAAAAGGGAAUCAAGGGCUGAUUGUAUGCAUGAACCAAGGAUGAUGAUCCCUUAAGCAUUUCUAACAUCAAGAGCCAUGUCAACAUGGACACGAGCAUGGAAGGGCAAUGGGUCAACGGUAAAUACGGAAGCUAUGCAUGAACUCGGACGCACGAGGUAGCGUUAGUUAAUUGAGCAUGGUGAUAAUUGAAGUUUGAUAUGGUUUUGGUUGUAUGAAAUCGGUAAUUUUAGCUAAGUAGACCGAACGGGACAAUAUAAAGUUGUAAUGAUAUGACAGAUUGAUGUAAUGCUACGGUAUUGUAAUCGGGUAAUGGGUAGAAUUGCACAUAAGUGCGCCAACCGAGAAUGGGGACUUAGGUUAAUGGUCAAAAGACUUAGCUUUUGACCUUAAAUAAAAGAAUGGUUUAACAAAAUACGAACAGGUCGAAUAAAUGUGCAUAAACUUCAUAAUGCUAAUGAAAUGCGUAAAGAUUAAGGACCCGGGUAAGGGCGUUUAGCCCAUAAUGUAAGGACAAGUCUUACGGACAACUAGAAAUAAUUGUGAGCAAUUUGAUUGAGGAAUGUCUGAGAUACGCAAGUUUUAAUAAUAAAAAUAUGAAUGGGUUGAAUAGUCGAAACGAGUAUGUAGAGCCGAAGGCUUUAAGUUAAGAUUUUUCCUUGUUUGGAUGUUAUAUUACAAGCUCAUAUGUUAGAAAAUCGAUUUACCAACGCAUAGGAAAAAGAAUCAUGUUAAUCGGAUUCGUAGAUCAAAAGUUAUGCAAAUUGUAAGUCGAAAAUACCCUUGGAAUUCAUAGCUGGGAAUUUACAGCAGCAAAUUGGAAGUUUCUGUCGAAAUAGAGCUGUCGCGCCCCGCGAGCGCCAGUCAGCUGGCAAAUUUUGGUUUUCUUGUUUGAUUUUGCAUCCGUACUCGAUGUUUUAAUGAUUUUUGAUGUCCCUUAACUUAUAUUAAAGCCGGUUUGAAUCACGAGUGAUGUUAUGAGCCUCCGGAUAAUGAAAGUAUGUAUUUUUCUUCGUGUUAGAGAAGAAAGAUUAUAAGUAAUCGAGACUAGAAAUGAGUGGGCAUGCAGUAUGGUAAGUAUAAAACUUAUAUCAUGGAAGUUGCGAUUAUGAUAAGAAAUGCGAGAUUAAGUGAAUAAAAGUAGUAAGCGAGGGCUCGCGUCUAUGUGUGUGUAUGUGAAUGUGUGCGUAUGUAUGUAGGUGUAUAUGUUGUAUGUAUGUAGGAAUUAGGAACGUAUACGUUUGUGGAUGCGAGAUGUUAUAAGUAUAUGAAGGAAUGGUUUGGACUGGUUUCAUUAUGUUCUAGCAUUAAUGUUUGCUAAUCGUGUGUUUGAGAUUGGAAUGAAAUGCAGGUACAUGAACACCGGGUUCAUGAAGUAUCGAAGUCGAAUUCGGAACAAGAAAAUACGAAAGGAUAGUUGAAUGAAUUAAAGUUCCUACUGUUAAAUUUUAUUCAAUAUUGGACUAUAUGAGAAUCAUGUCGUAUGAUAUUGUUAAUGACUAAUGGUUAUGAUGUAUGCGAUGUCCACAGGUAUUGCACGGAUUACCGCUACUACUACCGAAGAUAAGCAAGCGUUGAUCGAGUCACGGAGCAAGGGUUGUACGGAAAUAUGUAUUGUCUUGAAGCGUUAAUUUAAUGUGGUUAUUGUAAAUCCCUUUUGUAAAUGUUUAUCAUUUGUAUUUGAGCCUUCAAGUAAGUAAUGUGUCUAAAUAAGAAAGAAAUUUUUUGGGCUCGUAUUUUUCCGCUGUGUCAUAUUUAAGUUCUUACAAGUUGGUCUUACAGGGAAUCGUUCAUUAUACGAACGGGUCAUGCCCGAAUUUUGUAAAUAAUAAUACUUAUUUUGGAGUAAGAAAUAUGGGCGUUACAAGUUGGUAUCAGAGCCCUGGUUUGAGGGAAAUCAAGUAGAAGGAGGUAAAUACUUGAACUCAAACCCGUGUGCUCUUGUGUCAAGGAACCCGUACAAUCCAAGACUCGAUCAAGGCCUAAGGUUAAAAGCGAAUGUAAGUAUGUAUUAAAUUAUGUAUUUGAAGGAAACUAAUAGUAUGUUAUGUGAAGGGUAAGCGGAAUUGCUUGGAAGGGAUGAUAUGUGAAUGUGGUUUAGGACCGAUACCAAGGCAUGUAAUAAGACAUAUUGACCCAGGUACGUAAAUUUAGCUUAUGGGUGCAUGUAAUGGUAAAAUCUAUCAAGUGAAUGAAAAUUUUGAAUGAAAAAAAAAAUAAUAAUAAUAAUGGAAUAGUAAUGAAGUUUUGAAAAUAUUACACGUGCUGAAACCUAAUUCUUCGGACAUAAGGUGGCGAUUACACGAAGACGCGGAACUAGUAUGUGGAUUGCGUGCCUGGCCAGUACACAAGAAACAUAUGACGUUCGUGAGACCGUGAUAAUUGUUACAGGUAUGUCCGUUAGAAUUAGGUAGUAGGUGGACGUGAGGGUGAAGGGAGAUGUAAGACAUUCAAGAAAUUGAAAGUACCU